RNAcentral lists this ribosomal RNA (253 nucleotides) under uncultured bacterium. RNAcentral describes it as "partial 16S ribosomal RNA". It matches the Rfam family "Bacterial small subunit ribosomal RNA", at positions 524 to 776 of the family's 1533-position model. The record is from RNAcentral.
AACGUAGGGGGCGAGCGUUGCCCGGAUUCACUGGGCGUAAAGCGCGUGUAGGCGGUCCGUUAAGUCGGAUGUGAAAUCUCUGGGCUCAACCCAGAAAUCGCAUCCGAUACUGGCGGACUUGAGGAUGGUAGAGGUUGGUGGAAUUCCCGGUGUACCGGUGAAAUGCGCAGAUAUCAGGAGGAACACCGGUGGCGAAGGCGGGUCUCUGGGCCGAUACUGACGCUGAGGAGCGAAAGCGUGGGGAGCGAACAGG